Molecule: long non-coding RNA, 205 nt
Filed under: Ananas comosus (pineapple)
Lineage: Eukaryota; Viridiplantae; Streptophyta; Magnoliopsida; Poales; Bromeliaceae
Description: long non-coding RNA (ACOM_LNC013896)
Source: RNAcentral
UUCUGAAGUAUCUUAUUAAUAAAAUAUGAAUAGUAUUAUUGAUCGUCUUUGGUGUAAGUGGUAAAAAGUUUGGAGUUUGGUGGUUGAUAUUUGAGGUCUCAAGUUCGAGUCCUAAUUGAUUUACAUUUCAAGCUAAAUUUAUUUUUUAAAAAAAUAAACGAAACAAGUAACAUGCUAACUGUCUCUUAAAAAAUGGAUGAAUAGU